Molecule: non-coding RNA, 45 nt
Filed under: Schistosoma haematobium
Lineage: Eukaryota; Metazoa; Platyhelminthes; Trematoda; Strigeidida; Schistosomatidae
Source: RNAcentral
AUAUUUCUGAUGAGUCCAAAUUAGGACGAAACGUGAGUCUUAAAU